GUGGGUGCUGUGAUGCCCACCCAAGCAUGUCAAAGCACCUUAUUAAGGUGGACACAAGUUUCCAUAUCAAGAUGUGCGUACUCUGCCCAUGGAGAUAUGUUUUCCUAUCUGGACAUCAGCCUUUAGACUUGUGGAAUGACUUUUCCUACUGGGACACAGGUCUUAUGGUGUGUGGAAGUGUGUUUUCACAUUUAAGGCCUGCUUUUUCACAUGGAGGUAUACUUUCCUAUAAUGGGGCACGUUUUCCCAUGUUCAGAGUGUGGAUUUUUGGGGCCACCUGGGACACAUUUUGGCCCUCUCAAGGAACUUCCUUCCAGGGUUUGGACCCCAGAAUCCUGACCUCUCACCCACUAAAGGAGACCUUGGAAGCUGGCAUUUUUACACCCGUCAAUGUAAGGUUGGAAUGCCUAUCAACCCAAAGGGUUGCUGCCCAGGAAAGAUGGAUAACAUGCUCGAGCUGGCCCCAAUCAUUCCCAAGAAUCUGCUUAUCCACAGGCCUCCAGCACUGAAGCAGAGAUGGAGACCUCCUGUCUAUCAGGACUCUCCUGUCUGUAGAAACCCUCCUAACUGUCAAAAUCCUACUGUCUGUUGGAAAGUUCCUGUCUGUCAGAACCAUUCUGUCUGUCGGAACCCUGCUGCCUCUGAGAACUCUGCUGAUUGUCGGAACCCUACUGUCUGUCAGAACCCAGAGGUCUGUGACCUCUGCACUAUGGACUCUGUGACUCUUGAUCUGACCCCACCAGGCUCCUGCCAUCGACACUCAGUUUUCUCACCAGAACGUAACCAAUGUCCAGAUGCUAGGCUUCCCAAUGGAGAUGACAAUGUUUCCCAGUAUCGGCACCCUGGCAAUUCCCCUGACAAUUGUCAAUAUGACCGGAACUCUCCAAGGCCUCAGGCAUACUUGAAAGGGUUAUCAGCUUGUCUGCCAUUCUCUGGGUUCCGUUUCCAACAGUACCUGGGAAGAUCAGCCAAGAGAGUGGAAGCAAAAGCCAAGAUGGAGUUUGAAGCUUGUGUGUACCCCAUUAACCCCUCAACACAUAAUGCUGAGACUCAGAGCUGCAAAGAGAGUACAGAACCAGGCAUGUAUGGAUAUUCCCCCCAGUAUCUCCAUCGGGUUACAGUCAGCCCUCUAAGCUGCAAUCCCAUGCCCUCCACAAACCACGUAAUGUACAACGGCUGGAAAAAGAAGAGGCACGUAUCAAGUAGGGGUGUUGACAGCUUGCCCCAUGCAUGCCCCCCAGACUGUCUUGAAAAGCCAAGCCAGGACUGGGUAUACUACUCCCUGGAGGAGUGGUAGUGGAGAAUAAUAAAAUGGAAAAAUAAGGGGUAGCUUGCA
RNAcentral lists this long non-coding RNA (1336 nucleotides) under Phascolarctos cinereus (koala). RNAcentral describes it as "lncRNA (ENSPCIG00000034117.1)". Lineage: Eukaryota; Metazoa; Chordata; Mammalia; Diprotodontia; Phascolarctidae. The record is from RNAcentral.